AACGAACGCUGGCGGCAGGCUUAACACAUGCAAGUCGAGCGCAUCCUUCGGGGUGAGCGGCAGACUGGUGAGUAACGCGUGGGAAUCUACCUUUUGCUACGGAAUAGCUCCGGGAAACUGGAAUUAAUACCGUAUGUGCCCUUAGGGGGAAAGAUUUAUCGGCAAGAGAUGAGCCCGCGUUGGAUUAGCUAGUUGGUGGGGUAAAGGCCUACCAAGGCGACGAUCCAUAGCUGGUCUGAGAGGAUGAUCAGCCACAUUGGGACUGAGACACGGCCCAAACUCCUACGGGAGGCAGCAGUGGGGAAUAUUGGACAAUGGGCGCAAGCCUGAUCCAGCCAUGCCGCGUGAGUGAUGAAGGCCUUAGGGUUGUAAAGCUCUUUCACCGGAGAAGAUAAUGACGGUAUCCGGAGAAGAAGCCCCGGCUAACUUCGUG
RNAcentral lists this ribosomal RNA (433 nucleotides) under uncultured bacterium. RNAcentral describes it as "partial 16S ribosomal RNA". It matches the Rfam family "Bacterial small subunit ribosomal RNA", at positions 29 to 507 of the family's 1533-position model. The record is from RNAcentral.